Molecule: ribosomal RNA, 253 nt
Filed under: uncultured bacterium
Lineage: Bacteria
Description: partial 16S ribosomal RNA
Rfam family: Bacterial small subunit ribosomal RNA
Source: RNAcentral
UACGAAGGGGGCUAGCGUUAUUCGGAAUUACUGGGCGUAAAGCGUGCGCAGGCGGCUUCUCAAGUCAGGGGUGAAAGCCCAGAGCUCAACUCUGGAAUUGCCUUUGAGACUGAGUGGCUUGAGUACGAGAGAGGUGAGUGGAAUUCCCAGUGUAGAGGUGAAAUUCGUAGAUAUUGGGAAGAACACCGGUGGCGAAGGCGGCUCACUGGCUCGUAACUGACGCUCAUGCACGACAGCGUGGGGAUCAAACAGG